CCUACGGGGAGGCAGCAGUGAGGAUUAUUGGUCAAUGGUCGGGAGACUGAACCAGCCAAGCCGCGUGAGGGAGGAAGGUACAGAGUAUCGUAAACCUCUUUUGUCAGGGAACAAAGGCGGGGACGCGUCCCCGGAUGAGUGUACCUGAAGAAAAAGCAUCGGCUAACUCCGUGCCAGCAGCCGCGGUAAUACGGAGGAUGCGAGCGUUAUCCGGAUUUAUUGGGUUUAAAGGGUGCGCAGGCGGUCUGUUAAGUCAGCGGGCAAAACCCGGGGCUCAACCCCGGGCCGGCGGUUGAAACGGGCAGUCUCGAGUUGGAGAGAGGUAUGCGGAAUGCGCGGUGUAGCGGUGAAAUGCAUAGAUAUCGCGCAGAACUCCGAUUGCGAAGGCAGCAUGCCGGCUCCACACUGACGCUGAGGCACGAAAGCGUGGGUAUCGAACAGGAGUAGAUACCCCUGUAGUC
Molecule: ribosomal RNA, 461 nt
Filed under: uncultured bacterium
Lineage: Bacteria
Description: partial 16S ribosomal RNA
Rfam family: Bacterial small subunit ribosomal RNA
Source: RNAcentral